Long non-coding RNA from Poecilia latipinna (sailfin molly), 2094 nucleotides. RefSeq lists it as uncharacterized. The record is from RefSeq and is a predicted model, not a curated record. NCBI's taxonomy places the organism in Eukaryota, Metazoa, Chordata, Actinopteri, Cyprinodontiformes, Poeciliidae. The transcript is spliced from 3 exons.
CACAAGCUGCGUUAAAAAAAAAGAAAAAAAGAGGAAACGAAAAGAUUCACGAUGAAUAUAGUCUGAGAGAAAAUUCAGGGAGGAAGAAAGCGACUUACUUGAGGCCCCAGGAGCCCCUGAAGCAGCACAUGCAGCUGCAGGUGAGUCUGUGUCCAGCGUGUCCUCGUCGGCCCCUACAAAUCCCACACUGUGGCCCCGUUUCUUCAGACGCCUCUCAGGAACCGGUGAAGACAGAUGUUCUGUUCAGCCGCGGCGAACGGAAGCUUCCUCUGCAGGUAGGAGCUGAUCUGAUCUGCCUCAAUUGACUUCGACUCGUUUCAUUUUUAAAAAAACAGAAUUACAAAUUACAACGAACAAAAAUACAUGGAAAAAAAGAAUAGUAGGGACACGUGGUUAUUAACUGCUGCCAUGUUUGAGUUUCACCUCGCAGGGUGAUCUGGUUCAGGCUCUGCAGUCCUCUCAGGUGGUCAACAUGGAACUGAUUGACUCACAGCAACCUUCUUUCUUUUUUGAGUUAUUUUGUAAAUGUUUCUAGCAAAAGAUAUCUGCAUUGCUUUUUUACAAAUAAAAAAAAUCCCAAAUUCUAUUCAAUUUGCUAUUGAGGUUUGUUUAUGUUGCUGCAAUUCACAACAAAUCUGUGUGUGAUGAUGUAUUUAUCCAGUUUGGUGGAGAAUCUUUACAGACUGAAGGAGUAAAACAUUUGGCCUUGCAGCAGUCUUAUGUUGUGUGCAUUGGUUCAGAUGAUUUUGGCAGAUAUUGUCUCAUGUUGAGCUCCAUGACAUAAUGUAAACAAUAAAUUCAGAGGUCAAACUAAUAUAUUAUGGAGAUCAAAGCACAUGCCACACUCUGUCACAUUAACAUCUGCUUCAUUCAUUCACAACUGCUUGAAAAAAAUCAUUUAGCCAUCCUGAGAUAUUCCUAGUUUAUGUGAAGCUGCACAUAAAAACUAUUACAAUAUAAUACUUUGUAUUUCUUUUGACCAAAUCAUGUUAAAUGACUUGAUCUCAAAGAACAUAUUGAUCAAUAAAUCCCAGAUAAUUUCCACUUGUGAUAUGAAAAACCAAAAAACAAACAAACAGCUAAAUAUAAAACAGAAAAAAAGCUACAAGCAUAAAUGUCCAAAGCUUUAAACUGAUAAAGUGUGUUUGUUAAUUCAUUUUUGGCAUCCUUGGAAACAGGUAAACAUAAGAUUAGGGUGAUUGCAAGGAGGCCGUCUCUCCUCAAGGAGUUGAAGUUCAUUAUAAACCAAAAAUGUAAAUACCAGUAAAAUUUGCUACAUAAUUUCAAGAAGGGUUGUAUUAUUGUAAUUUUGUAUUUUUUCACAUAUUUUAUAAAGAAUUUUUGACAUGGCUUUCUUUUUUUAAAUGAAUAUAAAUACAAACUGAUAAUUUAUUCAUCAUCCCUUUACAUUAUUUUAUUUUGUCAGAGGUGGAUAGUAAGUAGUUAUAUUUUCUCAGUUAAAUUUACUUGAGUUAUUUAUUGGACAGAAAAUACUUAUAGUAGCUUUCCUUCACUGUACUUUGAACUUUUUCUUGAGUGGUGUUAUUAUGAAGUGUCACCACUGUUACUUGAGUAAAAUGUCUGGACCCUCUAACUACUGCGAGUAACUUCAUAACUUCACCAAAUGAAGAACGAACAUUUUUUAACCAAAAACAAACCAGACACACAUGAACACAAUUAGGUCAGACUUCUGUGUUUUACACAAACCUCAUUGUUCUAAUAUUUAUUUUCUAUUUGUUGAGCAUUUUAUGCCCUUUGGAGCUAAAGAAAAUACAGUAAACACCGGAAGCACUUCACCCUGGUCUAACUCACACACACACAUCUAUCUAUCUAUCUAUCUAUCUAUCUAUCUAUCUAUCUAUCUAUCUAUUGCUUAUUUGUUUGGAUUAUAUAUAAUUUUUUCUCUUUAAAAUAGUAGAACUGCACUAUAUGUAUUUAUCUGACUGAUUACUUGUUUUUUAAAUACUUGUCAAUUCUUUGCUCAGAAAAUGUCCAAGCCGUGUAGCCUGGCAGGUCACAGAACGUGAUUUUGUGUUUUGGUCAGAGGAAAAAAAAAAAAAAAAAGACAAAGCUUUGUGUCACAUUUCCAAAAGG